GGGGGGGGGGGGGGGGGGGCCGGAGGGGGGGAAGUCGGGCGGGAGCACGGUGAGAGCGUGCGCUUACGGGUGGCGAGUGGCGGACGGGUGAGGAAUACAUCGGAAUCUACUUUUUCGUGGGGGAUCACGUAGGGAAACGUACGCUACUACCGCAUACUACCUACGGGUGAGAGCAGGGGAUCUUCGGACCUUGCGCGAUUGAAUGAGCCGAUGUCGGAUUAGCUCGUUGGCGGGGUAAAGGCCCACCCAGGCGACGAUCCGUAGCUGGUCUGAGAGGAUGAUCAGCCACACUGGAACUGAGACACGGUCCAGACUCCUACGGGAGGCAGCAGUGGGGAAUAUUGGACAAUGGGCGCAAGCCUGAUCCAGCCAUACCGCGUGGGUGAAGAAGGCCUUCGGGUUGUAAAGCCCUUUUGUUGGGAAAGAAAAGCAGCAGGUUAAUACCCCGCUGUUCUGACGGUACCCAAAGAAUAAGCACCGGCUAACUUCGUG
RNAcentral lists this ribosomal RNA (492 nucleotides) under uncultured bacterium. RNAcentral describes it as "partial 16S ribosomal RNA". It matches the Rfam family "Bacterial small subunit ribosomal RNA", at positions 38 to 507 of the family's 1533-position model. The record is from RNAcentral.